This 305-nucleotide unclassified non-coding RNA is filed under the name plant metagenome. RNAcentral's name for it is "partial contains 5.8S ribosomal RNA, internal transcribed spacer 2, and large subunit ribosomal RNA". The stretch from base 1 to 105 matches the Rfam family "5.8S ribosomal RNA", at positions 50 to 154 of the family's 154-position model. The record is from RNAcentral.
GAAAUGCGAUAAGUAAUGUGAAUUGCAGAAUUCAGUGUAUCAUCGAAUCUUUGAACGCACAUUGCGCCCGCCAGUAUUCUGGCGGGCAUGCCUGUUCGAGCGUCAUUUCAACCAUCAAGCCCCCGGCUUGUGUUGGGGACCUGCGGCUGCCCGCAGGCCCUGAAAAACAGUGGCGGGCUCGCUGUCACACCGAGCGUAGUAGCAUACAUUCUCGCUCAGGGCGUGCUGCGGGUUCCGGCCGUUAAACGACCUUCAUAACCCAAGGUUGACCUCGGAUCAGGUAGGAAGACCCGCUGAACUUAAGC